This 254-nucleotide ribosomal RNA is filed under the name uncultured bacterium. RNAcentral describes it as "partial 16S ribosomal RNA". It matches the Rfam family "Bacterial small subunit ribosomal RNA", at positions 524 to 776 of the family's 1533-position model. The record is from RNAcentral.
UACGGGGGGGAGCAAGCGUUGUUCGGAUUUACUGGGCGUAAAGGGCGCGUAGGCGGCGUGACAAGUCACUUGUGAAAUCUCCGGGCUUAACUCGGAACGGUCAAGUGAUACUGUCGUGCUAGAGUACAGAAGGGGCAACUGGAAUUCUCGGUGUAGCGGUGAAAUGCGUAGAUAUCGAGAGGAACACCUGCGGCGAAGGCGGGUUGCUGGGCUGAUACUGACGCUGAGGCGCGAAAGCCAGGGGAGCGAACGGG